Molecule: long non-coding RNA, 549 nt
Filed under: Cyanistes caeruleus (blue tit)
Lineage: Eukaryota; Metazoa; Chordata; Aves; Passeriformes; Paridae
Description: lncRNA (ENSCCEG00000011683.1)
Source: RNAcentral
CAUAAAUCGUACUACUUACCUUCUUAAUAACUUCCUCUCCACACAAGGAUUAAAAAAGUGUUGUGUCUUUACCAAAUGAAUUAAUAACCUUCUUAUACUUUCUCUUCACUAAUUAAUACUGUUCUGAGGACAACAUUAACUCUAAUAUAUUAAUGAAAACUGCAAGCUUUUUGGGCACAGAAAGAGAGAAUUUGAACAGCUUUUUUAUAAAGGAUAUGUACAUUUCAGAAAGAUCCUAUAGGUCUAAAAGCAGCUGCUGGAGUCUUUUCUCAGGGCAGAAAGUACCAAAAGAAUCAGUGGUCACUGGUGAUUCCUUUGGGGCAGCUAGAAGAUAAAAACAACUGUCAUAGAUGUCUUACUGAGUUGUGAAUCAGUCAUGCAGCAUCUUCUGUAAGGUUGUUGAUACGCUGCAUCUGCAACACUCCCUGAGGCAAAUGUAUGGAGAUGGAGCUCAAAAGACCAAAGGAGGAAAUCACUAUGAGAGAAGAGAGGUGGGAAAUGAAUGCUGGUCAAAGUGAAAGUGUAUGUGAAGAAGUAAUUCUCCAGAAG